This 497-nucleotide ribosomal RNA is filed under the name uncultured bacterium. RNAcentral describes it as "partial 16S ribosomal RNA". It matches the Rfam family "Bacterial small subunit ribosomal RNA", at positions 28 to 507 of the family's 1533-position model. The record is from RNAcentral.
GACGAACGCUGGCGGCGUGCCUAACACAUGCAAGUCGAGCGGACAGACGGGACCUUGCUCUCUGAUGUUAGCGGCGGACGGGUGAGUAACACGUGGGUAACCUGCCUGUAAGACUGGGAUAACUCCGGGCAACCGGGGCUAAUACCGGAUGGUUGUCUGAGCCGCAUGGUUCAGAUAUGAAAGGUGGCUUCGGCUACCACUUACAGAUGGACCCGCGGCGGAUUAGGUAGUUGGUGAGGUAACUGCUCAUCAAGGCAACGACGCGUAGCCGGCCUGAGAGGGUGGAUGGCCACCCUGGGACGGAGACAAGGCUCAGACUGCUUCGGGAGGGAGCAAGAGGGGAACUUGCGACAUGGGGGGAAAACCGGAGGCAGACCGCCGGGGGAGGGAUGAAGGUUUUCGGGUCGUAAAGGUCUGUUGUUGGGGAAGAAAAAGCGGCGUUCAAAUACGGCGGCGUCUUGACGGUACCUAGUCAGAAAGCAACGGCUAACUACGUG